This is a small nucleolar RNA of Myotis lucifugus (little brown bat), 112 nucleotides long. Lineage: Eukaryota; Metazoa; Chordata; Mammalia; Chiroptera; Vespertilionidae. The record is from Ensembl.
UGGCUCUGUUGACUAGUGAGUUUGCCGACCACUGGGAUAGGUGAACAUUGCCCUGAUCUGAAGGGGAGGAUUUGUUUGUGUCCUUCUGUACGAAAUGGCUAAGCAGAAAAAA